Molecule: ribosomal RNA, 490 nt
Filed under: uncultured bacterium
Lineage: Bacteria
Description: partial 16S ribosomal RNA
Rfam family: Bacterial small subunit ribosomal RNA
Source: RNAcentral
AUUGAACGCUGGCGGCAGGCCUAACACAUGCAAGUCGAACGGUAACAGGAAGAAGCUUGCUUCUUUGCUGACGAGUGGCGGACGGGUGAGGAAUGUCUGGGAAACUGCCUGAUGGAGGGGGAUAACUACUGGAAACGGUAGCUAAUACCGCAUAACGUCGCAAGACCAAAGAGGGGGACCUUCGGGCCUCUUGCCAUCGGAUGUGCCCAGAUGGGAUUAGCUAGUAGGUGGGGUAACGGCUCACCGAGGCGACGAUCCCUAGCUGGUCUGAGAGGAUGACCAGCCCCACUGGAACUGAGCCACGGUCCAGACUCCUACGGGCGGCAGCAUUGGGGACUAUUGCACAAUGCGCGCAAGCCUGAUGCAGCCAUGCCGCGUGUAUGAAGAAGGCCUUCGGGUUGUAAAGUACUUUCAGCGGGGAGGAAGGGAGUAAAGUUAAUACCUUUACUCAUUGACGUUACCCGCAGAAGAAGCACCGGCUAACUCCGUG